Molecule: long non-coding RNA, 3098 nt
Organism: Felis catus (domestic cat)
Lineage: Eukaryota; Metazoa; Chordata; Mammalia; Carnivora; Felidae
Exons: 3
Source: RefSeq, a predicted model, not a curated record
CCGUGGAGGCGUCCUCUGAGCUGAGUCCAGGCCUGGGUUGGGCUUGCAGGAGACUCUGAGCGCAGCAGCCCUCACCACGCACACAGUCAGGCUGGCCUGAAGCCCUGGAAUCCUGGCCAAGACGGGAAAGAGGAAAGCUCUCCGGCCUUGACCUGCGUGUCUCCAUCCCUCGGCUCCCAGCUCGAACACCGCCUCUUCCAGGUAACCUGCUACAACCCUCACGGGCUCUGAGCCCCGAGGGGUCCUGCUCCCCCAAAGCUCAAUCAUAGUGUGUGUGUCCAAGUUGAUUUGUCCCAGCACCUUCCUCCCACCUGGUCUGUCCCCUCCAUCCCCAUCAUACGGCAGUGGCCAGCCCCACGAGGUCCCAAGGGGGUGCUCAAGCACAGGUGUGGAGACCCCCCCCCACACACACACACGGACCACCCAGAACCUCUCUGAGGUGCAGGGCACUGUGGCUGGCCCUGGUCGACCCCAUUAGAGGCUACACCCUGCCCCCCCAGCAUCUGCCUGGCCAUAGCCCCCAGGCCAGCCCAGUGACCAUGACUGUGGGCACAGCAGAACGGGGUGUGCCAAGAAUGGUCCGGAUGGGGUCAGGACCCUCGGCAACCUCACUACUCAGCUGGGAGGAAGUCAGAGCCAGAGGGGCUCCUCCUUACUCCUACCACCCUGGCAGUCCACAGCCUCUCUGUCUGGUUGGACAGGUUUCCGGGGCUGGCCUGGGUGGAGUCAUCCUCUGGUAGAGGCAGGCCAUGGGGCAGGGGCCAGAAAACUGGCACACCGGAGCCCCUGUACAGUCAGGCCAAUGACAUAUCCACCCACACCCAGAGACGGGUCUUGCCCUGUGGCCAGUCACCCUGGGUCGGGGAAGGGCUGGCACCGGGACCCGUCCAUCCAGCAAGGCCAGCUCGGCUUCCUCCUCUGGCUGGCCCUGCCUGGCCCUGGAAAGCACGGAGUGCCCAGCGCCGGCCCUACCACUCGCUCCUUGCCCUGGCAUCCCAGCCUCCCCUCGGCAGUGAGGAGGCCCAGGCCCUGGAGGCUGGACACCAGAUGAGCAGCAUGGCUUGGGUGCCACACAACAGAUGUGCAGGAAUGGGACAUUUCACGGGGAACCAGAAAAACACCCCGGCCGAGGUAGGGCCGUGACUCACGGGUGGGCAGGGCUCGGUCCUGGCUGCCUGGGCCCCCGCUCCGAGAAACUUGCCAGUGCUGGCCCCACCCACGCAGUCCCGCCAACGUGACCCUCCUCCUGGAGGCCUUUCUUAGGGCUCCACCCCCCUGGCUCCAAACACCACAUCCUCCUAUCGUCUGACCCACUGGCUGACCUCUCAGGCUCGGCCUCAGCCCUAGGGAACGCAAGACAGCUUGAACCCAGGCCCAUCUGGGCCAGGGCAGGGGACACACUCCCACCCCUCCUGUCCAGCCUCUGGGUGGACCGGAGACCUGCAGCACAGGUUAGGAUGUCAUCAGUGGCUUCCCCACCCCUGAAUGUACCACAGAGGCUUGAAGCCGGUGGUUGUGUCCAGCCCGGGACCCACUUCAAGGGGGCCGCAGCAGAGAAGAGUCACCAGAACAAAGGUCACUCUGAUUUAUUGCCGGGGCUGCGGGCCCUGAGGGAGGUGGUCAAGGGUGUCCCCAAGACUGCCAUUACAGCCAGUGCCCAGGGCUCUGUUUCAAGGGGCCGGAGCUGGGCUGUUGGCCUCUGUGGCGGGGAGAUAGUCCUAUCCAGGGUGGAAAGUGGCCACCUCCCACGACAACGGUCCAGUGGCUGCCCCAAACAUGUGGGCACCGCUGUGGCUGCCUGAGCCAUGUUGGGGUCCUGCGGGAGGCCCCUCGGCCCGGCAGGGGCUGGGCUAGGAGAUGACGCAGCAGCAGCUGUGGCAGCGGCAGAAGCGAGGGCAGUGGCAGCAGGAACAGCAGGGACAGCAGCAGCAGUGGUGGGCGAUGUCAUCCCCGCGCCCGAUGGGUGGCAGGCCAGCGUAGGUCAGUCCUGCCGGGCGCUGCCCACCGCUGUAGGGGUUGCAGGGCUGCUGCCAGCUCUGCUGGCCCUGGACCCGGGUGGUCCCCUUGGCCCCCUUGCUCCCCGGAGCCUCCUCGGAGGGCUGCAGGAGCCCGGUGGGCUCCGAGGUGCAGGAUCCCACAGGCGGAGGCUGGGACCCCAAGGAAGGAGGAGCCGUCUCCAGCCGCUGCCCCAGAUCAGGCCGCAGGUGAGCCCGAGGGAUGCUGACAUGAGCAUACGGGUUCUUGACGACCAUCUCAUGUGGGUCCAUGGCCCAGCCUGGCGGGGGCAGGCAGAAGAGACAGAAUCAGCUCAGCGGAGGGGCAGAGCUGCAGCCCAAGAGGGUGCCCAACCCGCAAAGGGCCUGGCUGUGGAGACACCAGGGUGUACAAGGCUUAUGUGUCGUGUGGGUGCGCAUGGGAGUGAGCUGGGUGUGAGGGCCGAGGUCUCCCAGCUGCCCUCCUUGCGUGGCAGUGGGGGAUGGGGUGGGGAGGCUGGGAGAUGCAGCUGUGCCGUCCCCGUGGCCGAGCCCCAGUGCAGGGAAGCCCCUCAGCCCAGGACCCACCUGCAGUGCUGAUGGCAGCGGUGUCCCCUCUCGUCCUGUGGGCCAGGUCCCAGCGCCUGUGAGGCAAGCAACUGGCAGCUGCCUUUUCCCUCCUGGGGAGGGGCGGGGCCGUGGGGCGGAGCUCAAAGAUGGGGUUCCCAAGAUCCCAGGAGGCCCCAGCUCUCCCAGCACAGCGGCCACCCACCCUUCCUUCUCAGGUGGGUGGUGGCCCAGCCUGGGCUCCGAGGGGCACGGCCAGCCUGGGUGACUCAGCCUCCAUGCAUCUGAGGCACGUCGUCAUCCCUCCCAGGACCUGCAGCUCGCCAGGAAGGAGGGCAGGAGGUGAGCCUGAAGUCAGCCUCAGCUCCUGGGCCUGCGGUGGGCUGGGGAACCCCAGCCAUCACUCGCCUACCUCAGAACCCCUGUUUUGAGGCAGAGGGCAGAGGUCCUCACUUCAACCAACAGCCUCUGCCUGGCAGACAGAGGCUAAGAUGUCUGAGAGCACAAACUGCUCUGAGGUUUAUAGGUUUCUAACUGAUAAAAAAUGUUGUAUUUACA